This 663-nucleotide long non-coding RNA is filed under the name Eucalyptus grandis. RNAcentral describes it as "long non-coding RNA (EGRA_LNC001845)". The record is from RNAcentral. Lineage: Eukaryota; Viridiplantae; Streptophyta; Magnoliopsida; Myrtales; Myrtaceae.
AUAUAUGAAGGUGAUCAGGAGGCGGAGGAUGUUCUUGCAAAUAGAGAUGUGUAGGAGGCGUGACUAGAGUUGCUUCAAGCUCAGGGACGGGCACUGCCUCAAGUUCAGGAAAUGGCGCGGCUUUCAGCUCAGGAAGCGGUAGAGGUUUGAGUUCACGAAGCAGCUUUGACUUCAGGAAGCAGUUCAGAAAGUUCAAGACUCCAGCAUGCUUUAGAAGAUUGUGAAAUGGCGUGGCUUUCAGCUCAGGAAGCGGUAGAGGUGCGAGUUUGCGAAGCGGCUUUGACUUCAGGAAGCGGUUCAGAAAGUUCAAGACUCCAGCAUGCUUUGGAAGACUCUGAACGGAAUCGUCCGCACACAGAGGAGUAGUCAGAGGAGUGAUUUCAGGACAAACUGCAUCAGAUUGAGAAGCUUGAACUUAACUUGGGGUUUCUUGUUAUAGUUCUUUAGCUGAAUGAAUACUGACAAUAUAUGAGCUUCCGCCAUACUGUCACUAUGCAUUUUAUGACUAGCUGUUCUCUUUCUUGGUAAACAUUGAUCAAGUGGACGGGCACAGGUGAUUAUUCAACUAUUUUGCGUCACAAAUAGUGAUCGAAGUCAUUUUGUUAAUUAUAGUGUUCCCCUGAUUCUUCCAGAGAUUUGAGCUAGUUGAUGAACACGGUUGCC